RNAcentral lists this ribosomal RNA (463 nucleotides) under uncultured bacterium. RNAcentral's name for it is "partial 16S ribosomal RNA". It matches the Rfam family "Bacterial small subunit ribosomal RNA", at positions 28 to 507 of the family's 1533-position model. The record is from RNAcentral.
GACGAACGCUGGCGGCGUGCUUAACACAUGCAAGUCGAACGGAAAGGCCUUUUCGGAGGUACUCGAGUGGCGAACGGGUGAGUAACACGUGGGUGAUCUGCCCUGCACUCUGGGAUAAGCCUGGGAAACUGGGUCUAAUACCGGAUAGGACCGCACUUUAGUGUGUGUGGUGGAAAGUUUUUUCGGUGUAGGAUGAGCCCGCGGCCUAUCAGCUUGUUGGUGGGGUAAUGGCCUACCAAGGCGGCGACGGGUAGCCGGACUGAGAGGUUGGUCGGCCACAUUGGGACUGAGAUACGGCCCAGACUCCUACGGGAGGCAGCAGUGGGGAAUAUUGCACAAUGGGCGCCAGCCUGAUGCAGCGACGCCGCGUGGGGGAGGACGGCCUUCGGGUUGUAAACGCCUUUCGCCAGGGACGAAGCGUUUUGUGACGGUACCUGGAGAAGAAGCACCGGCUAACUACGUG